GUAGGUGGCAAGCGUUGUCCGGAAUUAUUGGGCGUAAAGCGCGCGCAGGUGGUUCUUUAAGUCUGAUGUGAAAGCCCCCGGCUCAACCGGGGAGGGUCAUUGGAAACUGGGGAACUUGAGUGCAGGAGAGGAAAGUGGAAUUCCACGUGUAGCGGUGAAAUGCGUAGAUAUGUGGAGGAACACCAGUGGCGAAGGCGACUUUCUGGCCUGUAACUGACACUGAGGCGCGAAAGCGUGGGGAGCAAACAGGGAUUAGAUACCCUGGUAGUCCACGCCGUAACGAUGAGUGCUAAGUGUUGGGGGGGUUUCCCGCCCCUCAGUGCUGCAGCUAACGCAUUAAGCACUCCGCCUGGGGAGUACGGUCGCAGGACUG
RNAcentral lists this ribosomal RNA (373 nucleotides) under uncultured organism. RNAcentral describes it as "partial 16S ribosomal RNA". It matches the Rfam family "Bacterial small subunit ribosomal RNA", at positions 527 to 896 of the family's 1533-position model. The record is from RNAcentral.